RNAcentral lists this ribosomal RNA (260 nucleotides) under uncultured Eubacteriales bacterium. RNAcentral's name for it is "uncultured Clostridiales bacterium partial 16S ribosomal RNA". It matches the Rfam family "Bacterial small subunit ribosomal RNA", at positions 79 to 339 of the family's 1533-position model. The record is from RNAcentral. Lineage: Bacteria; Bacillati; Bacillota; Clostridia; Eubacteriales.
AUUAUUUUGUGACUGAGUGGCGGACGGGUGAGUAACGCGUGGGUAACCUGCCUUGUACAGGGGGAUAACAGUUGGAAACGGCUGCUAAUACCGCAUAAGCGCACAGCAUCGCAUGAUGCAGUGUGAAAAACUCCGGUGGUGUGAGAUGGAUCCGCGUCUGAUUAGCUGGUUGGAGGGGUAACGGCCCACCAAGGCGACGAUCAGUAGCCGGUCUGAGAGGAUGAACGGCCACACUGGAACUGAGACACGGUCCAGACUCC